ACAAAUGUAACACAUAUAUUAUAUUUUAAUAAUAUUCAUGCAUAGUAUAGGUUAUAAAUAAUUAAAAAUACAACCAGCUCUAAAAUAGACAAUGGAUUCUUUGUAAGGACACAUAGAGACAAACCCAACUUUGUGAAAUGAAAUUUUUAGGCAAAAAUAACUAACCGGCACACAAGAAGUUUAUCAACAACACUCUUAGAAAAAUUAUUUGAAUCAUCAUAUUCCAAGCACUAGAGAAAUCUGCACAUAUUGCUCCUCUGAUCACUGAAAUAUUUGUUGCGUCGAUGCCCCUAGUCCAUCUUCUAUUAUGAUCAAUCAGUUUCACUUCUCCAAUUAUACACUAAUUUGUAUACUUGAUAAAGGCCAACAAUCGUUAUCUAGAGUACUAAAGUUUUUCAGGGAAGAAAUUAGAGAACAAGAACAGCACAUUUUGGGUAGGUAACUGGAACAAACUAAAUGCCCAGGAAUUCAUGAAGUACACCAUCUCCAAAGGUUACAAGAUUGAUUCGUAUGCUUCCCAGAAAAAAAAAUACUACUGGAAUAAUCAUAUAAUGUUGUUGAAAUGCUGUUUUUCAAUCGAGUUCACUCUCUUUCUUUCUUCAGACACUUUCCUGCAAGUUUAAUAAAGUUCUGCAGAAACCCAUUCUACUUCAAACAAAAUACUUUGAAGCCUCUGGGAAAGUCUAUUUCAUAAAGAGAGACCAAUGUUAAAAAAAUCUAGCUUUAACAUUUCGCGGUAGGAAAAAUAUAGAUGUUGAAUAGAUUACCUGGAUUAUCAUGUCUUGUCCAACUUUGCUUGACUUAUAAAGUGGAUAUCGGUUUACUAAGGUCUUCUCGG
This 838-nucleotide long non-coding RNA is filed under the name Daucus carota (carrot). RNAcentral's name for it is "long non-coding RNA (DCAR_LNC000835)". Lineage: Eukaryota; Viridiplantae; Streptophyta; Magnoliopsida; Apiales; Apiaceae. The record is from RNAcentral.